GAGUGGCGAACGGGUGAGUAACACGUGAGUAACCUGCCCUUGACUUUGGGAUAACUUCAGGAAACUGGGGCUAAUACCGGAUAGGAGCUCCUGCUGCAUGGUGGGGGUUGGAAAGUUUCGGCGGUUGGGGAUGGACUCGCGGCUUAUCAGCUUGUUGGUGGGGUAGUGGCUUACCAAGGCUUUGACGGGUAGCCGGCCUGAGAGGGUGACCGGCCACAUUGGGACUGAGAUACGGCCCAGACUCCUACGGGAGGCAGCAGUGGGGAAUAUUGCACAAUGGGCGGAAGCCUGAUGCAGCAACGCCGCGUGCGGGAUGACGGCCUUCGGGUUGUAAACCGCUUUCGCCUGUGACGAAGCGUGAGUGACGGUAAUGGGUAAAGAAGCACCGGCUAACUACGUGCCAGCAGCCGCGGUGAUACGUAGGGUGCGAGCGUUGUCCGGAUUUAUUGGGCGUAAAGGGCUCGUAGGUGGUUGAUCGCGUCGGAAGUGUAAUCUUGGGGCUUAACCCUGAGCGUGCUUUCGAUACGGGUUGACUUGAGGAAGGUAGGGGAGAAUGGAAUUCCUGGUGGAGCGGUGGAAUGCGCAGAUAUCAGGAGGAACACCAGUGGCGAAGGCGGUUCUCUGGGCCUUUCCUGACGCUGAGGAGCGAAAGCGUGGGGAGCGAACAGGCUUAGAUACCCUGGUAGUCCACGCUGUAAACGGUGGGUACUAGGUGUGGGGUCCAUUCCACGGGUUCCGUGCCGUAGCUAACGCUUUAAGUACCCCGCCUGGGGAGUACGGGCCGCAAGGCUAAAACUCAAAGGAAUUGACGGGGCCCCGCACAAGCGGCGGAGCAUGCGGAUUAAUUCGAUGCAACGCGUAGAACCUUACCUGGGUUUGACAUGGAUCGGGAGCGCUCAGAGAUGGGUGUGCCUCUUUUGGGGUCGGUUCACAGGUGGUGCAUGGCUGUCGUCAGCUCGUGUCGUGAGAUGUUGGGUUAAGUCCCGCAACGAGCGCAACCCUUGUUCACUGUUGCCAGCACGUUAUGGUGGGGACUCAGUGGAGACCGCCGGGGUCAACUCGGAGGAAGGUGGGGAUGACGUCAAGUCAUCAUGCCCCUUAUGUCCAGGGCUUCACGCAUGCUACAAUGGCUGGUACAGAGAGUGGCGAGCCUGUGAGGGUGAGCGAAUCUCGGAAAGCCGGUCUCAGUUCGGAUUGGGGUCUG
Molecule: ribosomal RNA, 1204 nt
Filed under: Cutibacterium acnes subsp. acnes
Lineage: Bacteria; Bacillati; Actinomycetota; Actinomycetes; Propionibacteriales; Propionibacteriaceae
Description: bacterial SSU rRNA
Rfam family: Bacterial small subunit ribosomal RNA
Source: RNAcentral